Sapajus apella (tufted capuchin) is the source of this 148-nucleotide long non-coding RNA. RefSeq lists it as uncharacterized. The record is from RefSeq and is a predicted model, not a curated record. The transcript is spliced from 3 exons. Lineage: Eukaryota; Metazoa; Chordata; Mammalia; Primates; Cebidae.
UGGAAGCAGCAUAAUAGGGCCCAUUGUUAACACUGAGAAAAUCAGGACCCUCAACUUCAGAAAGAAUGUAUUUCUCUUUUUCUAAACCUCAAUGAAGAAAGUUCUGGAAUAAGGCCUUAAGGAUCAAUGAAAUUGCAGCAUUUAUAUU